Long non-coding RNA from Solanum pennellii, 458 nucleotides. RefSeq lists it as uncharacterized. The transcript is spliced from 3 exons. NCBI's taxonomy places the organism in Eukaryota, Viridiplantae, Streptophyta, Magnoliopsida, Solanales, Solanaceae. The record is from RefSeq and is a predicted model, not a curated record.
CCUUUCAUCAUCAACAAGGCUUCUCUAGAAUAAGCAUGGAGCAAUUGAUUUAAUGAAGCCUCUUCUUAAGUUAUAACUCUCAUUCUGCAGGGAUGAUCUCUGAGAUUUUCAAUAAUUUCAUACCAUUUUAAGGUUUACCAUGGAUGAGAGAAGAUGGUGAUGCACUUGACACUGUUGCCUUAUCUAGAAUGAAAUAAUUAUGUGCUGAAGUAAGCAACAUUAAAGAUCUCUUUGGCUAAAUUUCGUCGCGAAUUGUGUAUCCAUGGUGUGUGUGUGUCGCACACAUUUUUAUAUGCUAAUUUAUUUGUAGAUUUGAUUAUGAUAUCAAUAAUUUAGUUGUAGAGGACAGUAUUUUAUUGGUCUUGUUUUGAGAUUCCGUAGAUAAUUAUUAGGUAUUACAAUUAUCAUAUUUAAUAUGAUAUUUUAUCAACUGUUUCUGUACACUAUUAAUUUCUCUA